Molecule: transfer RNA, 89 nt
Organism: Neurospora crassa OR74A
Lineage: Eukaryota; Fungi; Ascomycota; Sordariomycetes; Sordariales; Sordariaceae
Rfam family: tRNA
About the family: Transfer RNA (tRNA) molecules are approximately 80 nucleotides in length. Their secondary structure includes four short double-helical elements and three loops (D, anti-codon, and T loops).
Source: Rfam
GCCCGCGUGGCGCAAUUGGUUAGCGCGUCAGACUUUUACGAACAAGUGAAGUGAUCUGAAUGUUGCGAGUUCGAGUCUCGCCGUGGGCG